RNAcentral lists this ribosomal RNA (433 nucleotides) under uncultured bacterium. Its description in RNAcentral is "partial 16S ribosomal RNA". It matches the Rfam family "Bacterial small subunit ribosomal RNA", at positions 29 to 507 of the family's 1533-position model. The record is from RNAcentral.
AACGAACGCUGGCGGCAUGCCUAACACAUGCAAGUCGAACGAGACCUUCGGGUCUAGUGGCGCACGGGUGCGUAACGCGUGGGAACCUGCCCUUAGGUUCGGAAUAACUCCCCGAAAGGGGUGCUAAUACCGGAUAAUGUCUUCGGACCAAAGAUUUAUCGCCUUUGGAUGGGCCCGCGUUGGAUUAGCUAGUUGGUAGGGUAAAAGCCUACCAAGGCGACGAUCCAUAGCUGAUCUGAGAGGAUGAUCAGCCACACUGGGACUGAGACACGGCCCAGACUCCUACGGGAGGCAGCAGUGGGGAAUAUUGGACAAUGGGCGAAAGCCUGAUCCAGCAAUGCCGCGUGAGUGAUGAAGGCCUUAGGGUUGUAAAGCUCUUUUACCCGGGAUGAUAAUGACAGUACCGGGAGAAUAAGCGCCGGCUAACUCCGUG